GCCAUCUUCAAGGCUCCGCCAACAGCUCCGUCCAAAGCAGGAAGCAGCACUGGCUCUUAGACGCCCCGAGCCGGGAUUUUAUGUGCGAGUCACUCGCGCGCACUCCGCGCAGCUACGGGUCGGGAGGAAGGCCAAAAAGUGUUGGGUGCAUGACGACGCGGGCUGUGUACUUCCUGGUUUUCUUUGCUGCGUGGCUCUCGGCUGCUUAUUAAUAGGCAAAAUUUCAAAGCCUGGCGUGAUAGCACGCAUCAUUAAUCUCGGGAGGCAGAGGCUGGAGGAUCUCUGUGAGUUUAGGGGAAGCCCGGUCUACACUAGGAGCUCCAUAACAGCCGGAGUAAGAAGGUCGGAGGAGGAUCUGGAGUCAGACCACGUUUCAAACAAACACCUUUAAACAAACAACACACAAGGAAACCAGAGAGCAAUGCACCAAAGAACUUCUGGUGGUAUUCCAACUGCUUCUUCCUGCUUCUGAGGACUUGUACUCAUAGGUGGGGGCCUGAUGGUUUCUACUGGAUCUAGCCAUUCCUACUGAUUCGUGUUUGAUGUUUGGUGAGUAUACUGGACUGCUGCUGCUGAUUUGGUGUUUUGUUAGUGGAUGGGACUGCUGGCAAUGAAGAUUUGAAUUGCUCCAAAGAACCAUUUCUAAGCAUGUUCCCAACCCCUAUUUCCUAUUAACGUUUCUUUCUCCCUACUUCUGGUGGGUGGUGGGCUAGAAGAGAGUUUGAAGCCUUAAAGUAGGUUUUGAAAUCUCCAAGCCUAGACAUUCUUUUCAAGAUCUUUUUGUUUUGGUUGUUGUUGUUAGUUUGUUUGCUUUAAGAUGGGGUUUCUCUGUGUAGCCUUGGCUGU
This 846-nucleotide small RNA is filed under the name Rattus norvegicus (Norway rat). RNAcentral describes it as "uncharacterized LOC108350125". Lineage: Eukaryota; Metazoa; Chordata; Mammalia; Rodentia; Muridae. The record is from RNAcentral.